This 275-nucleotide ribosomal RNA is filed under the name uncultured bacterium. RNAcentral's name for it is "partial 16S ribosomal RNA". It matches the Rfam family "Bacterial small subunit ribosomal RNA", at positions 338 to 605 of the family's 1533-position model. The record is from RNAcentral.
CCUACGGGUGGCUGCAGUGGGGAAUAUUGGGCAAUGGGCGCAAGCCUGACCCAGCCACGCCGCGUGAGCGAUGAAGGCCUUCGGGUUGUAAAGCUCUGUGGGAAGGGGCGAAAGGCGGACGUGCUAAUAGUACUCCGUUUGACGGUACCUUCUUAGCAAGCACCGGCUAACUCUGUGCCAGCAGCCGCGGUAAGACAGAGGGUGCAAACGUUGCUCGGAUUUACUGGGCGUAAAGCGCGUGUAGGCGGGAAGAAAAGUCGGGUGUGAAAUCCCUG